GGCUUACCAUGGUUUCAACGGGUAACGGGGAAUUAGGGUUCGAUUCCGGAGAGGGAGCCUGAGAAACGGCUACCACAUCCAAGGAAGGCAGCAGGCGCGCAAAUUACCCAAUCCCGACACGGGGAGGUAGUGACAAUAAAUACUGAUACAGGGCUCUUUUGGGUCUUGUAAUCGGAAUGAGUACAAUUUAAACCUCUUAACGAGGAACAAUUGGAGGGCAAGUCUGGUGCCAGCAGCCGCGGUAAUUCCAGCUCCAAUAGCGUAUAUUAAAGUUGUUGCAGUUAAAAAGCUCGUAGUUGAAUCUUGGGCCUGGCUGGCCGGUCCGCCUCACCGCGUGUACUGGUCUGGCCGGGCCUUUCCUUCUGGAGAACCUCAUGCCCUUCAGUGGGUGUGUUGGGGAACCAGGACUUUUACUUUGAAAAAAUUAGAGUGUUCAAAGCAGGCCUUUGCUCGAAUACGUUAGCAUGGAAUAAUAGAAUAGGACGUGCGGUCCUAUUUUGUUGGUUUCUAGGACCGCCGUAAUGAUUAAUAGGGAUAGUCGGGGGCAUCAGUAUUCAAUUGUCAGAGGUGAAAUUCUUGGAUUUAUUGAAGACUAACUACUGCGAAAGCAUUUGCCAAGGAUGUUUUCAUUAAUCAGUGAACGAAAGUUAGGGGAUCGAAGACGAUCAGAUACCGUCGUAGUCUUAACCGUAAACUAUGCCGACUAGGGAUCGGGCGAUGUUUCUAUCUUGACUCGCUCGGCACCUUACGAGAAAUCAAAG
RNAcentral lists this ribosomal RNA (761 nucleotides) under Platystomum salicicola. RNAcentral describes it as "SSU rRNA". It matches the Rfam family "Eukaryotic small subunit ribosomal RNA", at positions 338 to 1103 of the family's 1831-position model. Lineage: Eukaryota; Fungi; Ascomycota; Dothideomycetes; Pleosporales; Lophiostomataceae. The record is from RNAcentral.